GUGGUGGCUGAGGCUCAGUCACGGCCUCGAGCACAGGGAAAGACAAAGUCUUGCGUACGGCGACCCUGGUCUUGAAGGGCAGAAAUGGGCCGCACAGAGGAGACUACGCCCUGGCCAGAGCGCGGGUGUCCCGGGCUGGGAGGGGACAGGGGCACCGCCCCUCAGGGAAAGACCUCGAAGACUGUGCAUGGGAGGCCGGGCCGGCCGGAGACCCCUGCUCUCGGUGCCCUGCUCAGGUUGCUGGCCAGAAAACUCCAAGGUGACGUUUCAUGGAAGGAAGAGAAAUCACCGCCGCCCGAUUGUUUGAGAGCAGAGGCUGGCGCGGGGCAAGAGGGACGGGCUGCGCGGUCAGGAGCCAGCGUCUGCAGGCUUUGACGCAAGUCUUCUCCAGGCCAGCGUCACCCUGCAGCCGGCUGGGAAAGGCUCCGCAUGGCCCACGUUUCCUGGUUCCUGCAGACCGCAGCGGUGGGACGGGGCCCACUCCGACCGGGCUGCUCGCGCUUAGAUCCGGACCGAGAAGCAGGAAGCGGAUCGGCCUGAGGGAAGACCGCAACGUGGGGAAAGGGCACUUCCUAGGAGGAGGUGUUCCCUGACGAGGAAACAGAACGAGCCGGCCCCUCCGGGCCUUCAGGGAGCAUCGGGACCAGGGAGCGCCACCGUGGAGAACCUCUGCGCAAUGGACUGCAGUUCAUGCUUUCCAAGCGAGCUACCCCUCACGCUUCCGAAUUGGAACACAUCGGUCCUCCUUACGGAGCCUAAAUUAAAGCUCUCACAAGAUGAUAGCCGUGCUCUCCCAGUGCCGUGCACGCCGUGUCCUGCAGUCCAACCCACGUGCAGCCAGCCAACAGCAUCUGGAGCUCAGGGCAACCAAGCAGAAAUUGUUCCAAGCCUCCCCUCUGCCACUGCUGUCCGGGUCAUCGGCUGGAAGUGAAGUCACACUGCCUGCCCAGUCUUCCUUCACUGAAGAGGCCUGCCGGCCCCUCACCCUGUGGAUCCCUUUCUGCCUCACCGGAGUUCUGUUCGCCCAAGGACAUGAAUUUCUAGUUUACCCGACCAGAGGUGAAACACCCUUUCUUCCGGGCACUCGGCAGGUCUACGUCGGCCACACCGGCCCUGUGGGACCACAGAUGCCGCAGGACCCUAGAGAACCAGCUCCCCGAAUCCAGCCCGAUAUCCCAGGGACAGAUCCAGUGCACCCUACGUUGCAGAGACACUGCCCACAUUGCAGGAAGCACCAAGUCCUGGCUUAAGUUUUCCUGCUGAGAGAGCUCUGCAGCCUCUGUGGGGCCUUCCUCAGUCAUCAGUCCUUGAAGCACUAUUCUUUCCUGAGAGCAGGCUAUUCGCUGACCUUCUGUCAGGAAACAGCUUGAUUGUGGGCGUCUGCAAACAGAGAGACAAGGCUACGUGACCACCCCUCACGACCUCCUUUCCCCUCAUUCCUGCUGCCCCCAGAUGGCUCUGAGAUAAUACCACUGCUUUCCUGCAAAAAAAAAAAAAAAAAAAAAAAA
RNAcentral lists this long non-coding RNA (1508 nucleotides) under Fukomys damarensis (Damara mole-rat). RNAcentral describes it as "lncRNA (ENSFDAG00000029577.1)". The record is from RNAcentral. Lineage: Eukaryota; Metazoa; Chordata; Mammalia; Rodentia; Bathyergidae.